UUUAUAUGAGAGUUUGAUCCUGGCUCAGGAUGAACGCCGGCGGUGUGCCUAAUACAUGCAAGUCGUACGCACUGGCCCAACUGAUCGAUGGUGCUUGCACCUGAUUGACGAUGGAUCACCAGUGAGUGGCGGACGGGUGAGUAACACGUAGGUAACCUGCCCCGGAGCGGGGGAUAACAUUUGGAAACAGAUGCUAAUACCGCAUAACAACAAAAGCCACAUGGCUUUUGUUUGAAAGAUGGCUUUGGCUAUCACUCUGGGAUGGACCUGCGGUGCAUUAGCUAGUUGGUAAGGUAACGGCUUACCAAGGCGAUGAUGCAUAGCCGAGUUGAGAGACUGAUCGGCCACAAUGGAACUGAGACACGGUCCAUACUCCUACGGGAGGCAGCAGUAGGGAAUCUUCCACAAUGGGCGCAAGCCUGAUGGAGCAACACCGCGUGAGUGAAGAAGGGUUUCGGCUCGUAAAGCUCUGUUGUUGGAGAAGAACGUGCGUGAGAGUAACUGUUCACGCAGUGACGGUAUCCAACCAGAAAGUCACGGCUAACUACGUGCCAGCAGCCGCGGUAAUACGUAGGUGGCAAGCGUUAUCCGGAUUUAUUGGGCGUAAAGCGAGCGCAGGCGGUUGCUUAGGUCUGAUGUGAAAGCCUUCGGCUUAACCGAAGAAGUGCAUCGGAAACCGGGCGACUUGAGUGCAGAAGAGGACAGUGGAACUCCAUGUGUAGCGGUGGAAUGCGUAGAUAUAUGGAAGAACACCAGUGGCGAAGGCGGCUGUCUGGUCUGCAACUGACGCUGAGGCUCGAAAGCAUGGGUAGCGAACAGGAUUAGAUACCCUGGUAGUCCAUGCCGUAAACGAUGAGUGCUAGGUGUUGGAGGGUUUCCGCCCUUCAGUGCCGGAGCUAACGCAUUAAGCACUCCGCCUGGGGAGUACGACCGCAAGGUUGAAACUCAAAGGAAUUGACGGGGGCCCGCACAAGCGGUGGAGCAUGUGGUUUAAUUCGAAGCUACGCGAAGAACCUUACCAGGUCUUGACAUCUUGCGCUAACCUUAGAGAUAAGGCGUUCCCUUCGGGGACGCAAUGACAGGUGGUGCAUGGUCGUCGUCAGCUCGUGUCGUGAGAUGUUGGGUUAAGUCCCGCAACGAGCGCAACCCUUGUUACUAGUUGCCAGCAUUAAGUUGGGCACUCUAGUGAGACUGCCGGUGACAAACCGGAGGAAGGUGGGGACGACGUCAGAUCAUCAUGCCCCUUAUGACCUGGGCUACACACGUGCUACAAUGGACGGUACAACGAGUUGCAAACUCGCGAGAGCAAGCUAAUCUCUUAAAGCCGUUCUCAGUUCGGACUGUAGGCUGCAACUCGCCUACACGAAGUCGGAAUCGCUAGUAAUCGCGGAUCAGCAUGCCGCGGUGAAUACGUUCCCGGGCCUUGUACACACCGCCCGUCACACCAUGGGAGUUUGUAACGCCCAAAGUCGGUGGCCUAACCUUUAUGGAGGGA
The sequence is a ribosomal RNA, 1495 nucleotides long. It matches the Rfam family "Bacterial small subunit ribosomal RNA".